Molecule: ribosomal RNA, 490 nt
Filed under: uncultured bacterium
Lineage: Bacteria
Description: partial 16S ribosomal RNA
Rfam family: Bacterial small subunit ribosomal RNA
Source: RNAcentral
AUUGAACGCUGGCGGCAGGCCUAACACAUGCAAGUCGAACGGUAACAGGAAGCAGCUUGCUGCUUUGCUGACGAGUGGCGGACGGGUGAGUAAUGUCUGGGAAACUGCCUGAUGGAGGGGGAUAACUACUGGAAACGGUACCUAAUACCGCAUAACGUCGCAAGACCAAAGAGGGGGACCUUAGGGCCUCUUGCCAUCGGAUGUGCCCAGAUGGGAUUAGCUAGUAGGUGGGGUAACGGCUCACCUAGGCGACGAUCCCUAGCUGGUCUGAGAGGAUGACCAGCCACACUGGAACUGAGACACGGUCCAGACUCCUACGGGAGGCAGCAGUGGGGAAUAUUGCACAAUGGGCGCAAGCCUGAUGCAGCCAUGCCGCGUGUAUGAAGAAGGCCUUCGGGUUGUAAAGUACUUUCAGCGGGGAGGAAGGGAGUAAAGUUAAUACCUUUGCUCAUUGACGUUACCCGCAGAAGAAGCACCGGCUAACUCCGUG